CUUUAUUUUUUAAUCCAUAAAUAUUUGUAACUGACAAAAGUGGAAAAAAUUCCUUAAGACUCUAAAUCGUCACUAACCCCAUUUUUUUCUGUUACAGUACGUACAGAAUGUGCUUAUACAGGAACAGUUAUUAGAACAACAAGAAUAAUAUCAGGAACAACAGUCAUAUACAUUAAUAAGCUUGGCGCUUAUCAAAGGGGCGGCUCUAUGUGCAUCGAAGCAAUCAUCUGGCCAAUCCCAUCCAUGGAAAUCUAGAAUCACAAUAUUGCAAUUAAACCUAGGAUGCAAAACACAAACCUGAAGGGAAUUUGAAAUAUCAGUGUACAUCCUCAGUUAACUGUCUGAUUACCAAAGAUAUAAAAAACCCAUGGCUCAUUCCUGUGGCGAGCAAAGAAUGAAAAGGUUUCUUUGGCCAACGUAAGUAAUAAAGCACUAAAAAAAUAUCGCUGGUCAUACAGACAAUUCUACUCUGCCUGUUGGAAUAAAUCAUCGCAAAUUAAUUACAAAUAUAUUCCCUGGCCUAUUCUUUAUUUUUCAUUAUAGAAACCUGAUAUUACUGUCUAGCCUGUCUGCUCUCCCUUCUUCAGGUAUGUGUCAGGUAGUGACAAAAGGACUGGUAUUUGGUCAUUGAGUUGUCAGGCCAACCUCAAAUGAUUAGAAUGGCUACAGACCUUCUAUAAAAUUGGGAGAAAGGCCAAUAUGAAUAAAUCAAGACAGACAUGCUUAAUUCUUAAUUACAGCACUUAUCUGACGUUUUUGUUCCAGUAUUUUUUUUUUCAUGUUUUAUAGUUUUUUUUUAAGAAACCCAGCCAAUAUAGCACUGCCAUGAAAGCAUGGUCAAAUAUUUGCUACAAAGCAUGUAGAGAAUACAAUAUCCUGCCCAUCUGAACCUACCCCCCACCCCCAAGGCUAUGAAGAGGCUUUUUCGAUAACAGACCCCUCUGACACCUUAAAAGAUUAUUGUUAACCCAAAACAAUAUUUAAACUUACAAAUAUUCAGUGAUUUCCUUCCCAGCUCAGUAAUCAUCAUAAUAAACAGGGAGUCUAUAAACUGGGGAUC
Non-coding RNA from Pelobates cultripes (western spadefoot toad), 1060 nucleotides. The record is from the annotation of a GenBank genome assembly. NCBI's taxonomy places the organism in Eukaryota, Metazoa, Chordata, Amphibia, Anura, Pelobatidae.